RNAcentral lists this ribosomal RNA (435 nucleotides) under grassland soil clone sl1_203. RNAcentral's name for it is "bacterial SSU rRNA". It matches the Rfam family "Bacterial small subunit ribosomal RNA", at positions 50 to 504 of the family's 1533-position model. The record is from RNAcentral.
AACACAUGCAAGUCGAGCGGUAAGGCCUUCGGGGUACACGAGCGGCGAACGGGUGAGUAACACGUGAGCAAUCUGCCCUUCUCUUUGGAAUAACCAUUGGAAACGAUGCUAAUGCCGAAUAUGACCCCCCUUCGCAUGUUGGGGGGUGGAAAGCUCCGGCGGAGAAGGAUGAGCUCGCGGCCUAUCAGCUUGUUGGUGAGGUAAUGGCUCACCAAGGCAUUGACGGGUAGCCGGCCUGAGAGGGUGACCGGCCACACUGGGACUGAGACACGGCCCAGACUCCUACGGGAGGCAGCAGUGGGGAAUAUUGGACAAUGGGCGAAAGCCUGAUCCAGCAACGCCGCGUGAGGGAUGAAGGCCUUCGGGUUGUAAACCUCUUUCAGCAGGGACGAAGCGAAAGUGACGGUACCUGCAGAAGAAGGACCGGCCAACUAC